RNAcentral lists this ribosomal RNA (754 nucleotides) under fungal sp. RNAcentral's name for it is "eukaryotic LSU rRNA". The stretch from base 498 to 754 matches the Rfam family "Eukaryotic large subunit ribosomal RNA", at positions 1 to 261 of the family's 3401-position model. Lineage: Eukaryota; Fungi. The record is from RNAcentral.
CAUUACAGAGUUAUACAACUCCCAUACCAUCUGUCAACCUACCCAGCUAUGCCUCGGCGUAAGCUCGGCCGGGGGCGGUCCGGCGCUACCCUGUAGCGGCGGCCGCGCCACCUCGGCCGCGCCCGCCGGCGGUACACUAAACUAUGUUUUACUUUACCUUCUGAGCGUCUUAUUUUAAUAAGUUAAAACUUUCAACAACGGAUCUCUUGGUUCUGGCAUCGAUGAAGAACGCAGCGAAAUGCGAUAAGUAAUGUGAAUUGCAGAAUUCAGUGAAUCAUCGAAUCUUUGAACGCACAUUGCGCCCAUCAGUAUUCUGGUGGGCAUGCCUGUUCGAGCGUCAUUUCAACCCUUAAGCCUAGCUUAGUGUUGGGACUCUACUGUACUGUAGUUCCCCAAAGACAGUGGCGGAGCGGCAGUGGUCCUCUGAGCGUAGUAAUUCAUUUCUCGCUCCUGUCAGGCCCUGUCCUCCCGCCGUAAAACCCCCAUCUUUUAGUGGUUGACCUCGGAUCAGGUAGGAAUACCCGCUGAACUUAAGCAUAUCAAUAAGCGGAGGAAAAGAAACCAACAGGGAUUCCCCUAGUAACGGCGAGUGAAGCGGGAACAGCUCAUAUUUGAAAUCUGGCCCUUGGGUCCGAGUUGUAAUUUGCAGAGGAUGCUUUUGGUGCGGUGCCUUCCGAGUUCCCUGGAACGGGACGCCUUAGAGGGUGAGAGCCCCGUACGGUUGGCCACCAAGCCUGUGUAAAGCUCCUUCGAC